CACGUAGGGGGCGAGCGUUAUCCGGAAUUACUGGGCGUAAAGGGUGCGUAGGUGGUUUCUUAAGUCAGAGGUGAAAGGCUACGGCUCAACCGUAGUAAGCCUUUGAAACUGGAAAACUUGAGUGCAGGAGAGGAGAGUGGAAUUCCUAGUGUAGCGGUGAAAUGCGUAGAUAUUAGGAGGAACACCAGUUGCGAAGGCGGCUCUCUGGACUGUAACUGACACUGAGGCACGAAAGCGUGGGGAGCAAACAGGAUUAGAUACCCCCGUAGUCCCUGAGCGGG
RNAcentral lists this ribosomal RNA (281 nucleotides) under uncultured prokaryote. RNAcentral describes it as "partial 16S ribosomal RNA". It matches the Rfam family "Bacterial small subunit ribosomal RNA", at positions 524 to 803 of the family's 1533-position model. The record is from RNAcentral.